This 253-nucleotide ribosomal RNA is filed under the name uncultured bacterium. RNAcentral's name for it is "partial 16S ribosomal RNA". It matches the Rfam family "Bacterial small subunit ribosomal RNA", at positions 524 to 776 of the family's 1533-position model. The record is from RNAcentral.
UACAGAGGAGCCAAGCGUUGUCCGGAUUGACUGGGCGUAAAGCGCACGCAGGCGGAUGCGCGCGUGGGGUGUGAAAUCUGGCCGCUUAACGGCCAGGCGCCAUCCCAUACGGCGCGUCUGGAGUGAUGCAGAGGUCGAUGGAAUUGCCGGUGUAGUGGUGAAAUGCGUAGAGAUCGGAAGGAACAUCAGUGGCGAAAGCGGCUUCCUGGUCCAGCACCGACGUUCAGGCACGAAAGCGUGGGGAGCAAACAGG